This is a non-coding RNA of Schistosoma margrebowiei, 46 nucleotides long. The record is from Rfam. NCBI's taxonomy places the organism in Eukaryota, Metazoa, Platyhelminthes, Trematoda, Strigeidida, Schistosomatidae.
GCACUAUUGAAGAGUCUCAAAAUAGAAUGAAACGGCCGUCCAGUAC